GCUACAAACGGCAACAAAGGGGUCAUUCCCCUUCCUCUCCCCGCCCUCUUCGCUCCCCUCCUCCCCGAGCCCCAGCUUCAUUCCAUUGAUGAGGUCUAACGUUCAUGGAUUCCACUAGGUGAAGGUGGAGGUGCUCAAACCCUAGAUCGGGCUUGAAGGAAGAAACACGGUGGAACAGCUCCUCCUUUCUUCGGAAUCCAACCCCCGGAAACCCUCAUCUCAGAUAUUUCUUCACCCUAGAUCCGUUCCCUAGAUCAGUUGAUCUGAAGAUCGGGUCAGGUUUUGAAGAGAACAACACGAUCUCUUUGCCUCGGAUCCGUUCUUUAAAUCAGUCGAUCUGAAGAUCAUGUCAGGUUCUUGAGGAUGUGCUGGAUCCAUCUUAUGCUGUAAAAUUUUGGCCGGGAGUCUUUGAAGACACUUAUAUCCAUGCCUUCUUCUUGGGGCUUGGAUAAACUUCAAGAACAGAUUUAGGUGAUGUGGCAUGGGGCUGAGCAUAGCACUUGCCAGCAUUGUACGAGAGUGCAUGCUAUGUUGUACCAUGCCGAUGUGUGCCAUUCAAAAAUAUAUUUGUGUACCGACACACAAUGAUUGAUAUUAUACGAGGAACCCGAGAUGUUGUAAGUCAUCAAAUGAAGAACGGUUGAGGAAAAGGGUUGUUGCUUUUAGGCACUCUUUUGAGAUGGGAAUCGUGUUUAUUAGUUUGGAGCAUUGUGGGCAAGCAUCAUUUGCCCUAGUGACUAUGUGUAAUAUGUAUCAGGUUUCACCCAUGCAUUCAUCUGCACGGGUUUGCGUCGUGGAAUCAGCCGCACACAGUUUAGCGAACUGAGUAGUGACUUGCAAGGUCUUCGCUCAGACUGCACUGCUAAGAUUGACAUAUUCCCUAGCACCUUCAGUGACCAAGCAUUUUUUUUUCAUGGGCACCCCUCGUGGAAAUUCCUGCAGGCGAGGUGAUCCUCUUGUGACUCCAGCUCUUCUGUUUCUUCUACUACCAUUUCUUCCUCCUAGCUUCUUGUUUGUAGAUGCAGUAUGUGCAGCUUGGUUGGCAGAAAAGUUAUCUGCUGGACUAUCUGCCUUCUUUUGAAAGGUGUCCUUGAAACUUAAAAGUUUUCUGGAUUUUUAUAUUCUUAAUUACUGGAUCUUUUCACUCUGUCAUAAAUAGUCGCUGAUUUUCUUUUGUAUAAGUCAACUGACUAAACUCAUCGGAGUAUGCAGCAUUCAAUUAUUUUAUUCAGGAGGCGGUGUACAUGCUUGAAACAUAUCUAGCCCUUUGGUCAAUUAUAUGGUGUAUUUGAGAUGUUAGGUUUUAUCUAUGCACUUUGGUGCUGUGGGCUAGUGUCAUGGAGUCAGCCUCAUACAGUUUGGUGAUAUGUUGUUGGUUUUCCCAAAAGACCAGACACCAGACUGGGGGCAUGUCUAACAUACUAUUGUUCUAUCUACUCGACACAGUCGAUAUUUCUAGGGGGCAUGUCUAACAUACUAUUGCUCUAUCUACUUGACACAGUCACGAGCACCGACAGCGACCAAGCUGCAUUUCUUGAGCUGGUAGAAGGUACUAGAAAUUAAAGGUUGUGAUGGAAACCAUCAGGGCGGGAGAUUGUAUUCCGAGUUUCCAUGCACAAGAUUAGGAGGUGCUUCAUAACAUACUUUGCACUUUAUCUUUUAUUUGUUUUUGUAAUAAACAAAUGUUAUGUUAUGUUUGUUACUAUAUCUUCUUCUUUUUUUUUUCUAAAGAAAACUAAAAACCAACCAAAACAGGCUCAAGUGACUGCAGCGUAAGAACUGUACGGUUGUGUGCACGAUUCUAUCACAUGGUGGUGGAUUGUACGUCAAAGAGCGUAGGUGUACACGUUGUGAAUUGGGUGUAUGAGAGGAGAGUAUAAGAUUCUAGGGCAAAAUGUCAUACGCAGACAUGAAAGUGAGAGAUUAUUACAUGCUCACAAUGAUAUUUUCUCUUGCAGACAUGCAUGAAAGUGAAAGAUUUAUUAUUAUGUACUCACAGUGAUAUUCUCAGUUCCGAGAAAUGCUAAGUUUACAACCACAAGGGUUUGUACCCCUACCACCUCUUGAUAAUCCUAUUUUGGUUUUUAGUUAAAAAACCAAAGUGAUAAGAUUAGCGAGGAAAAGAUGGUCAUUGGAUACGACCCACUAAAAUGCUACUUGUACACCAAAAACGUAAGAGCAAAUCUUACAC
Molecule: long non-coding RNA, 2191 nt
Organism: Ananas comosus (pineapple)
Lineage: Eukaryota; Viridiplantae; Streptophyta; Magnoliopsida; Poales; Bromeliaceae
Exons: 12
Source: RefSeq, a predicted model, not a curated record